Non-coding RNA from Paramormyrops kingsleyae, 5940 nucleotides. The record is from RefSeq and is a predicted model, not a curated record. NCBI's taxonomy places the organism in Eukaryota, Metazoa, Chordata, Actinopteri, Osteoglossiformes, Mormyridae.
GUUUGUUUGGCCGCCACAAGCGGGCUAAAUUGGCUAGAUGAGCGGGGCGGACUUAUCUUCUGCAAAAACGAAUGACAGAAAUGCAGACUUGUACACGGCAACUGCCCUGUUGAUUUCAGUCAGUUCACCAGGACCAAACAUUUGGAAAUGUGAAGAAGGUUUAAAGUAUGGCAUGCAAAGAUGGUCUCUGUCAAAACGGAGAUGGUCAUUGCGAUACCCCUCAGUUGUAUUUACACACUCUUGUACUUGAUCUGCAUAACUGUCUGCAACAAGCGGUGGUUAGUCUUUUGUAACACAUUGCGCUUUAUCCUGCACCUUCUUUGGAUCGUAAGGGGAGCCUCUGCACAGACAAUAAACGAUGAGAAACUGUAUCCUGAAAAAUUCACACGUAUUUUAGACCGACUUUUGGACGGCUAUGACAACAGGCUGCGACCCGGAUUUGGAGGUCCAGUCACCGAAGUUAAUACAGAUAUAUAUGUAACCAGCUUUGGCCCUGUUUCAGAUGUUGAAAUGGAGUACACUAUGGAUGUGUUUUUCCGCCAGACAUGGGUGGAUCGCAGGCUGAGCUUUGAGGGUCCCAUGGAGAUCCUCCGGCUCAACAACCUCAUGGUCACCAAGGUGUGGACCCCAGACACCUUCUUCCGGAAUGGCAAAAGAUCUGUCGCCCACAACAUGACUGCCCCCAACAAACUUUUCCGCAUCAUGAAAAAUGGCACAAUCUUGUACACCAUGAGACUAACGAUCAGAGCAGAGUGUCCAAUGAGGCUGGUGGAUUUCCCAAUGGAUGGACAUGCGUGCCCCCUAAAGUUUGGAAGCUAUGCAUAUCCCAGAACAGAGGUGAUCUACACCUGGACUAAAGGACCAAAAUAUUCAGUUGAAGUACCGUCUGAGUCCUCCAGCCUGCUUCAGUAUGAUCUCGUUGGACAGACGGUCUCCAGUGAGACUGUAAAAUCGAUUACAGGGGAAUAUGUUGUCAUGACGGUGUAUUUUCACCUCAAGAGGAAAGUGGGAUACUUCAUGAUUCAGACAUACAUCCCGUGCAUCAUGACAGUGAUUCUCUCCCAAGUGUCCUUCUGGAUCAACAAGGAAUCGGUUCCUGCAAGGACUAUUUUUGGGAUCACUACAGUGCUGACCAUGACCACGCUAAGCAUCAGUGCCCGUCACUCGCUGCCCAAGGUCUCCUAUGCCACCGCCAUGGACUGGUUCAUUGCCGUCUGCUUCGCCUUUGUCUUCUCCGCCCUUAUUGAAUUCGCUGCCGUCAACUAUUUCACCAACGUACGGAUGGAGGCUGCCCGGAUGAGGUCGGCCAGGGUCCCCUGCCCAGGCGAUGCCACCGACGCUGAAGAGGUGCUGCAUGUGAGCCAGCUGGUCGGCAUUCGCCGCUCACACAUAGGUCAAGGGCCCUCCUGCAGAUACUGAAAGCCAUUAUGGUACAACUGUAGAGAGCAGUCCUCCACAUUGCCCAGGGAGGUAAAACACUUGAUCUCUGCCCCGAGUUAAACUGAGGACCCCUGAGAUUUUACUUUCACUGGCUUAUUCUCCUUUAAAAAUCUUUACUCAGAGAACACUCAAUUUCUAGUGUAAUUCUGCCUAGAGGUGUAAGGUUACCUUUUCUUGCGAUAAGACGUUUGCUCAGGUGUACUAAGAAUUUCUAGUUUUUCUUGCAAUUUCAGCCAACAACUAUUGGUAAGUAAGCAAUAUAUGGAAAGUAUAAGGGUGUCCAGACACAGCAGCUAUUUACAGUAUUACUCAAGGAUUAAGUUAAUUUUGCUUCACAAGAAUGUGGUAUCACGCGUAAGGAAUUCAACUUCGUUCAGAAAGUCUCAAUGCUUUUGAAUGCAUUCUUGACCUAUUUUGUAUGGUGGAUCCAGUAGUACACCUCACUGUUUCAGGUUGAAUCCUUGGUAUGGUGAAAAAACUCAGUAAUCCAGAGCAGGGCCAGCCCAGGGUAAACGUGAUCCAGGAAGCCACCAUCUGAUCAGUCUGUCAGGAUGGGAAGAAAGAUGACGAGUUACAGUUAUGUUAGUCAAAAUGCACCAAAAAAAGGCUUGACCGGCCCUGGUCCAGGUGAUGGACAUGAUGUAGAUUGUUAGCAGAUUGUUAGACUUUUCCUAAACAUACUGGACAGUUGUUUCAUCACAACAACAUGCAUAUCCAAGCAAUAACUUUUAAAUUAAGGACAAUCAAUGCCUCUUUGUCUCAUCUGAGCCAUCUAACACAUGCAGCCUCACACAACAUAGUCUCUGUUUUGCAGUUUUAUACAACAGUGCAAUGUGAUUGUUUAUUGCAUCAUAAUUAAGAUUAUGCAAUCAGAGUGGACAUUACGGUAAGAAUGUGUACGGUUUGUGGAGUUUGGUUGGACUGUGGAACAUGAUUGGGUGAUAUUUUUCAAUGUAGAUGGGUACGGUCUUACAAAAGGCCCUGGUUAUUUACUUAUUUAUUCCAAAUCCCCCAGGCUGAGGUUAUAAAAUAAAGUACUAGAAGUAGAAGAACUAGUCUUUAAUUAGAUAAAUUUGUCAAUUGCCUCAUUUUUCCAUGCUUAGCUGGCUGUCCAGGCAGAGACCACUGAAUGCACCCGUAAUGGAAAAUAACAGUUUUAAGGUAUAUUUGUGCAAGUUAAAUUAAUGUUAUAGUGUCCAAUUGACUAUCAGAGUAUGCCUUCAGGAGUUUAAAUUUAAUUAAUGCCGGCCUUCUGGAGUCUAAUCGCAGAAAGGAUCAGUAACACUGCCAGCCUGAAGAAAUGGAAAUCCCAUUCUGCUUAAAGAAACAUAUAAAACAACUGCAUAUUGUGUCCUGUUUGCUGCUUUCAUUGGAGUGACUGUAAUUCUUCAGAGUGGGUAGUAUUGCCUGGAGGAGAAAAAUCACAGAGAUUUCAGAUUAAACAUUAUUUUAUAAGAUUUAGGGGCAGCUUCAACCAGCCUUACAAAUUACGAGGAAACCAAGUAAACAGGGAUAUGACGAUGAGUUAAUUUACAAUGUUGCGAGAUUCCCUGAAACACUUUUAUCUUUUUUUAAUUAAAUAUACUUGCAGACAGGUUAGGAUAAGCUUUCAUCCAUGAAGCUGCUAUGACAAGAAAAUACCUUGCAUUUUAACCCAUAUACCGCAAAUGAAUACAGAUUAAAAUACAUUAUAUUUUGUUUUCAUAGCAGCGCAAAUGCACAUAAAAUAAGUACGCAUUUGUGCUUUUACAAUCGAUUGUCGCAUGUAUCGUUCUUAAAGGUGAAUGCGUACUUGCGUACCAGUUAUGUGCACCCCUGACUAUAUACAGUAAUCGAUUCCAUGAAAAAUCAGUUUUGUACAUGACAGAUCAAGACUUUAAUUUUGACAACACUAUGUUGUGUACAUAGGGUGACCAUCAAAGGUGGAAAGUUCAGGUUUGGAAAGUACAAAUCCAGACAAAGAUUUUGUUUCAGCCAACCAAUUGAGUAGAAAGAGUCAUAGUCACAGGGCCUUCUUUUCCACCGAUUCAAAGUGCGACGUAAAGUGUGACGCAAAGUGGUUUGUUAGAUUUGUACAAGUGCUGUCCCCUUUCCCAACCGCUGUGCUCAUUCAGCAACGAGCUUGUUUUUCCCGUCAUCUGACAUCAUUGUAAUAGCAAUCCGCUGUAGAUCAUGCAUCGCUGCCUUUUAAAGGUGAGGUGACCCACCAUUCUGAUUGGUUCAUUGCAUGUUACGGCCAAAACACGCCUCUGAAUAAUUAAAAGAGUUAGGACAACCAUGUGCUUUGUGUUGCCGCAAAGUCUGGUUUUUCCGCUGUCAAAAUAGUGAAAUGGAUCUGGACACGCCCAUAAAUGUUAGUUGCACUAACUCACAGAGAGCCCACAGAGUGCUCAACUGAUUGGUUGAAACAAAAUCUUGCUGGUCUGGAUUUGUACUGUCUGAAUUUGAACUUUCCACCUGGUGAUUAUUUGUCCUGAUUUCAGGCGGACAGUCCACUUUUCCCUGCUGCUGCAUGUCCUUUUUGCCCUUUUGUCUUCUUUUGACAUCUUCUGUGCAUGUAAGGCAUGUGUAAGUAAUGAUAAUGAUAAUAUGAUAAUGAUAGCAAUAUUAAUACUAUGAGUCCUGUUAGCGUUGACAUUAAUGUGUAACUACCUGAAAAAAAACAACACUUUUCAAACAAAUCUCAACGUUGCUCAGACAUCUAGCAAAGCCGUCUGUUGAACUAGUUUUUACUGAGUGGGUUGAAUUGUCAGUGAGGGAAAGUGCUUUUGACUGAUUCUAAAUUCAGGUUGUUUCUUCACAUAAUAUCAGGGAUGUAUGGGUUUCAUAUAGCUCUUUCUUUCUAGUUAUUCUGAGGUGCAUGUAUUCCUAUGUUAAUGCUUAUCAAUAUACCGUAUUGGCCCGAAUAUAAGACAACCCCGAUUAUAAGAUGACCCCCUACUUUUUGACAACUACUUUAAAGAAAAAAAUUUUGGAAUACCAAAGUUUGCCUUUAUAAAGAAAAAAUAUUUUAUUUGACAAGAACAUACAAGUUAACCAGCAAUCUCUGUUUAAAAGGCAACCACAGGCAUUAAGGUUGUAAUAAGUGUAUUAAACAGCAAAUAUUCCAGAACACAAAUGUUUUAUUGGGGGGGUGGGGUAUGAAAAUUACUAACCCCAAAACCCUUGAGGGUGCAGAAUGUUUUAAAUGCAGCAGAGGGUAAAAAAGCAUAUUGUGGAGAAAGGUUGAGUCAUAUUAACAAAUGAUAUGACAGCUCUUUUAAAGUGAAUGUUACUAUCAACAGCCACUAUCAACUUAAUUCUAGCAGCUUCGCAGCCAGGGAAGCCAAAGAUUUACACGACACUCAGGGAUACGCACUAAACACGCGCACAGCCAGGGAAGCCAACGAUUUACACGACACUCAGGGUUACGCGCUAAACACGAGCACAGCCAGGGAAGCCAACGAUUUGCACGACACUCAGGGAUACGCGUUAAACACGCGCACAGCCAGGGAAGCCAAAGAUUUACACGACACUCAGGGAUACGCGCUAAACACGAGCACAGCCAGGGAAGCCAACUAUUUGCACGACAUUCAGGGAUACGCGCUAAUGACGCGCACAGCCAGGGAAGCCAGCGAUUUGCAAGACACUCAGGGAUACACCCUAAACACACGCACUGCUAUGGCUGCCAGCUCUCACGCAUCUGGUGUGACCCACUUUUUGAGUCUUACGCUCUUACAAGAAAUCUUACGGUAAAUUUAUAUUACGGUCAAAACACUUGUUACAAAAUAUCAUAUUUGGUGCCAUCUAUUCCCUUUCUUGUCUAGACCACAAAUAUAAGACGACACCACAUUUUCAGAUGUAUUCCGAGAAAAAAAAAACUCAUCUUAUGUUUGGGUCAACACGGUACAUCCUUUAAGAAAAUGGACAGUAGGUGAUCAUGUUUUACAUAUUUCACAUGAUCAGGAUAAUGGUAGUAGCCCAGUAGGUUAGGGGGUUUGAUGCCUGCCUCCGGCGGUACUUGCAGACUGCAUGUUGCCUGUGGUGAGUGUGGGUACCCUGACUUAAGAUGGGAUCCUGUCUGGGGUAUCCUCUGCCUUUUGCUGCCUGGGGAUGCACCCUGGACUAGCCAUGCCCCCAUACUGGUUAAGGGAUUGGGGACGGUCUGUCGAUACUAACAAAAGCAAUACUCAUAAUCAUUCAAUAUCAGAAAUGAUUCUGUUGCCCAAAAUGCUUCUGGCUGCGGAAACAUCCAUCCAUUUUUGGUACCCUCUUGUCCUGUGCAGGGUUUUUGGGGUCUGGACCCUGACCCAGAAGUAACGGGCACAGGGCAGGGAAUAACCCAGGAUAGGGUGCCAUUGCAGGACAUGUAAAUAUCAUUCACACAAUUUGACAACCCAGAGGAAUCCCCAUGAGCACAUGGGGAGAAAACAUGCAAACUCCACACAUGUGAAGGCCUGGCACAGACUUGAACCCUGGUCCCAGAGAAUGAUGUACACAGCAGCCUGAGAAAGAGGGUGA